GCGAUUCGACAUGGUCUGAUUUUAUUGAUUGUCUUGUUAUUUUUUUUGUGGUUAGUUAUGUUUUUAAUUAAAAAAUUAUUUUGUUGUUGUAUUGUUUUGAUUUAAUUCUUUUUACUAUAGUUUAUUGGUACCGUGAGGGUAUGAGGUGUAUAUAAUGUUUUUUUGGAAGUUGAUUUUAUUUGUCGUACCUUGUGUAUCAGGGUUCAUUGAAUUUUAUUAUUUAUUUUUGUUUCCCGAUUUUAAAGGAGUUAAUGGUUUAUGUUAGUUACUGUUUCAUUAGUAUUAAUAAUAGGUUGUUGGUAGUGAAAUGUUAUUCGUCUUUAGUGGUUUCUGGUUUUUCAAGAAAUGAAUUUAAUUCAUACGUCUUAUUUAAUUUCUGUUGUUGAUUUACUUAUUUUUAUUUGAUGUUAAGAUUGAGGGGGAUUAGCUCCUUAUUUUAUUUUUAUAAUUGGUUUAAUUUAAUUUAGUUUUGUGGAUUUUAUAGUGAUUUUCUAUUUGAUUAUGUUAAAAUUUUAUUUGUUGUUUGUUUUUUAUUUAUUAUUAUUUAAGUUAUUUAUUGAAAUGUUUUCUUUAUUUUUGGGUUGUCUAGUAAUUAUUGUGUAAUUAGUAAAUUUUAUUGGUUGUUUUUGAAUUGUAAAAACGGAGUGUUAAUUGCUUUUGAGGAAUUAGGCAAAUUUAUUAUGUCCGCCUGUUUAACAAAAACAUCUUUUCUCGUUAGUUUUUGAAGUAUGGCCUGCCCACUGACUGUUGUUGAAGGGCCGCGGUAUUUUGACCGUGCAAAGGUAGCAUAAUCAUUAGUUCUUUAAUUGUGAUCUGGUAUGAAUGGCUUGACGAGACAUAAGCUGUCUUGGAAGUAUUAUUUAUUGAAUUUGGUUUUUGAGUUAAAAUUCUUAAAUGUUUUUAUGGGACGAGAAGACCCUAUAGAGUUUUACAAUUUUCCCAUUUAUUUGUUGUUUGUUUGUUUUUGUUGAGUGGGAAGGAUUGUUUUGUUGGGGUGAUGGGAGGAAUAAUAUUUAACUCCUCUUUGAUUUUGUAUAUUUAUUUAUAUGUAUUUGAUCCAUUUAUUUUGAUUAUAAGAUUAAAUUACCUUAGGGAUAACAGCGUUAUCCUCCUUGAGAGUUCUUAUUGGCGGGGGGGUUUGCGACCUCGAUGUUGGAUUAAGGUGAAUUUUCGGUGCAGGAGCUGGAAGUGAUUAGGUCUGUUCGACCUUUAAAAUCUUACAUGAUCUGAGUUCAGACCGGCGUGAGCCAGGUUGGUUUCUAUCUAUAGAAUUGUUUUAUAUCUUAGUACGAGAGGACCGGGUAUUUGAAAUAAUUUCAGGGUUUAUAUUGGGGUUUGUUAAUGUGGUACUAUUUUGGCAGAUAAGUGCAU
This 1371-nucleotide ribosomal RNA is filed under the name Nasutitermes sp. C TB-2017. Its description in RNAcentral is "16S ribosomal RNA". The stretch from base 902 to 1268 matches the Rfam family "Bacterial large subunit ribosomal RNA", at positions 2074 to 2646 of the family's 2925-position model. The record is from RNAcentral. Lineage: Eukaryota; Metazoa; Arthropoda; Insecta; Blattodea; Termitidae.